Molecule: long non-coding RNA, 378 nt
Filed under: Gallus gallus (chicken)
Lineage: Eukaryota; Metazoa; Chordata; Aves; Galliformes; Phasianidae
Description: lncRNA (ENSGALG00010002683.1)
Source: RNAcentral
UGGCACUGGGUUUUAGCUUCCAAAAGGUGCUGUGGGAAUUGAAGCAGCUUUCCAGAGCAAACUACACAAGGACGUGAGCCAGAGAGAUGUUGCAGAAAGAAAACACGCUUCAACAGAAGAGAUUAAGGUGCAAGUCAGAGUGGCAUUGAAGGCUUCAGAAGAGCAACACAUUGCCUGCAUUUAAACAUGAGCCAUAGCCUAAUUUCUAAAGCUGCUCUAUAAACUCCGCUUGAGAGGCAGCACGAGCCAAAGAAGGAAGAAAACACGUCUGGGAAUGGCAGUGAAUGAAGAAAACAAGUCGGGGUUUCUUCUGUGGUCAGACCAAUGCUAUGAUUCAUGGAAUUGUGAUCGUCAGUCUGCACAGGAAGUGGAGGUCAG